This 751-nucleotide ribosomal RNA is filed under the name Bacillus spizizenii. RNAcentral's name for it is "bacterial SSU rRNA". It matches the Rfam family "Bacterial small subunit ribosomal RNA", at positions 9 to 740 of the family's 1533-position model. The record is from RNAcentral. Lineage: Bacteria; Bacillati; Bacillota; Bacilli; Caryophanales; Bacillaceae.
GAGUUUUNNAUCCUGGCUCAGGACGAACGCUGGCGGCGUGCCUAAUACAUGCAAGUCGAGCGGACAGAUGGGAGCUUGCUCCCUGAUGUUAGCGGCGGACGGGUGAGUAACACGUGGGUAACCUGCCUGUAAGACUGGGAUAACUCCGGGAAACCGGGGCUAAUACCGGAUGGUUGUUUGAACCGCAUGGUUCAAACAUAAAAGGUGGCUUCGGCUACCACUUACAGAUGGACCCGCGGCGCAUUAGCUAGUUGGUGAGGUAACGGCUCACCAAGGCAACGAUGCGUAGCCGACCUGAGAGGGUGAUCGGCCACACUGGGACUGAGACACGGCCCAGACUCCUACGGGAGGCAGCAGUAGGGAAUCUUCCGCAAUGGACGAAAGUCUGACGGAGCAACGCCGCGUGAGUGAUGAAGGUUUUCGGAUCGUAAAGCUCUGUUGUUAGGGAAGAACAAGUACCGUUCGAAUAGGGCGGUACCUUGACGGUACCUAACCAGAAAGCCACGGCUAACUACGUGCCAGCAGCCGCGGUAAUACGUAGGUGGCAAGCGUUGUCCGGAAUUAUUGGGCGUAAAGGGCUCGCAGGCGGUUUCUUAAGUCUGAUGUGAAAGCCCCCGGCUCAACCGGGGAGGGUCAUUGGAAACUGGGGAACUUGAGUGCAGAAGAGGAGAGUGGAAUUCCACGUGUAGCGGUGAAAUGCGUAGAGAUGUGGAGGAACACCAGUGGCGAAGGCGACUNUNUGGUCUGUAAC